This is a long non-coding RNA of Talpa occidentalis (Iberian mole), 527 nucleotides long. RefSeq lists it as uncharacterized. Lineage: Eukaryota; Metazoa; Chordata; Mammalia; Eulipotyphla; Talpidae. The transcript is spliced from 3 exons. The record is from RefSeq and is a predicted model, not a curated record.
UUGGGGAACCACAAGGCAAGGCAAACAAAAUGCCACUGGCCCCAAGCCUGGGGGCUGUGAGCAAAAGCCAAGCUCACACAACCAUUCAGCUAAGCGCCUACUCUGUCCUGGCCACCGGGUAACCAUCCAUAACGCUUCUGAGCUCCUGACCCAAGGGGCGGCCUCAGAGCACCUAUUCAGGAUAAGGGGGUGCGCCAAGCCCCAAGCUGCACUGCUGCCUCGUCUGCCGGCUGCCUUGUUCCCUCUGAGGGCUGGCUGCACUCUGCAUUUCUUACUUCUGCUGGGUUUGGGAGUGCAGGAUUCUGUCGUCACAUCUAAGAGGACUCAGCUCCUGCCUCCAUAAGAAAGGCACAGUGAAGAGGGGGCUGGGUCACCUCGAGGGCCAUGAGCCCAGAGGCCCAGGCCCUGGCGGCUUUGUCUAGGGCUGUGGACUGGAGUCUGCCUGGUGUUUAAAAACCACCUUGCCCCUCGGGCCCUGUGUCCCGUUUCAAGGCAUGCCAUGGGGAAUGUCAGGCCCUUAUUAAAUA